RNAcentral lists this ribosomal RNA (480 nucleotides) under Talaromyces flavus. Its description in RNAcentral is "partial 28S ribosomal RNA". The stretch from base 140 to 293 matches the Rfam family "5.8S ribosomal RNA". The record is from RNAcentral. Lineage: Eukaryota; Fungi; Ascomycota; Eurotiomycetes; Eurotiales; Trichocomaceae.
CUCCCAACACCUGUUGCUUCGGCGGGCCCACCGGGGCCACCCGGUCGCCGGGGGACAUCCGUCCCCGGGCCCGCGCCCGCCGAGGCGCUCUGUGAACCCUGAUGAAGAUGGGCUGUCUGAGUGAUAUGAAAAUUGUCAAAACUUUCAACAAUGGAUCUCUUGGUUCCGGCAUCGAUGAAGAACGCAGCGAAAUGCGAUAAGUAAUGUGAAUUGCAAAAUUCCGUGAAUCAUCGAAUCUUUGAACGCACAUUGCGCCCCCUGGCAUUCCGGGGGGCAUGCCUGUCCGAGCGUCAUUUCUGCCCUCAAGCACGGCUUGUGUGUUGGGUGUGGUCCCCCUGGGGACCUGCCCGAAAGGCAGCGGCGACGUCCGUCUGGUCCUCGAGCGUAUGGGGCUCUGUCACUCGCUCGGGAAGGACCUGCCGGGGGGGGUUGGUCACCACCACAUCUUUUUACGAGGUUGACCUCGGAUCAGGUAGGAGU